UACGGGGGGGGCAAGCGUUGUCCGGAAUCAUUGGGCGUAAAGAGCGUGUAGGCGGCCAGGUAGGUCUGCUGUGAAAACUCGAGGCUCAACCUCGAGACGUCGGUUGAAACCAUCUGGCUAGAGUCCGGAAGAGGAGUGUGGAAUUCCCGGUGUAGCGGUGAAAUGCGCAGAUAUCAGGAAGAACACCCGUGGCGAAGGCGGUUCUCUGGGACGGUACUGACGCUGAGGAGCGAAAGCGUGGGGGAGCGAACAGG
Molecule: ribosomal RNA, 254 nt
Filed under: uncultured bacterium
Lineage: Bacteria
Description: partial 16S ribosomal RNA
Rfam family: Bacterial small subunit ribosomal RNA
Source: RNAcentral